Molecule: ribosomal RNA, 507 nt
Filed under: Fomitopsis pinicola
Lineage: Eukaryota; Fungi; Basidiomycota; Agaricomycetes; Polyporales; Fomitopsidaceae
Description: eukaryotic LSU rRNA
Rfam family: 5.8S ribosomal RNA (bases 104-257)
Source: RNAcentral
GGGGUCUUCAUCGACUCUGCUUUUUAGUUGGGGCCUUCCUAUGUUUUAUCACACACUACUUCAGUUUAAAGAAUGUCCUCUUGCGUCUAACGCAUUUAAAUACAACUUUCAGCAACGGAUCUCUUGGCUCUCGCAUCGAUGAAGAACGCAGCGAAAUGCGAUAAGUAAUGUGAAUUGCAGAAUUCAGUGAAUCAUCGAAUCUUUGAACGCACCUUGCGCUCCUUGGUAUUCCGAGGAGCAUGCCUGUUUGAGUGUCAUGGAAUUCUCAACUCUAUUUGCUUUUGUGAAUAGAGCUUGGACUUGGAGGUUUAUUGCCGGUACCUGUGAUCGGCUCCUCUUGAAUGCAUUAGCUCGAACCUUUUGUGGAUCAGCUUAUCGGUGUGAUAAAAUGUCUACGCCGUUACUGUGAAGCAUAUUAUUCGGCUUCCAAUCGUCCUUCACGGGACAAUAACUUUGACCUUUGACCUCAAAUCAGGUAGGAUUACCCGCUGAACUUAAGCAUAUCAU